This 274-nucleotide ribosomal RNA is filed under the name uncultured bacterium. Its description in RNAcentral is "partial 16S ribosomal RNA". It matches the Rfam family "Bacterial small subunit ribosomal RNA", at positions 523 to 796 of the family's 1533-position model. The record is from RNAcentral.
AUACAGAGGGUGCGAGCGUUAAUCGGAAUUACUGGGCGUAAAGCGCGCGGAGGCGGCUUGGUCAGUCGGAUGUGAAAGCCCCGGGCUCAACCUGGGAAUGGCAUUCGAUACUGCCAGGCUAGAGUAUGGGAGAGGGAAGUGGAAUUUCCGGUGUAGCGGUGAAAUGCGUAGAUAUCGGAAGGAACACCAGUGGCGAAGGCGACUUCCUGGCCCAAUACUGACGCUGAGGUGCGAAAGCGUGGGGAGCGAACAGGAUUAGAAACCCUAGUAGUCC